Molecule: ribosomal RNA, 211 nt
Filed under: uncultured bacterium
Lineage: Bacteria
Description: partial 16S ribosomal RNA
Rfam family: Bacterial small subunit ribosomal RNA
Source: RNAcentral
UACGGAGGGAGCUAGCGUUGUUCGGAAUUACUGGGCGUAAAGCGCACGUAGGCGGCUUUUUAAGUCAGGGGUGAAAUCCCGGGGCUCAACCCCGGAACUGCCCUUGAAACUGGAGAGCUAGAAUCUUGGAGAGGCGAGUGGAAUUCCGAGUGUAGAGGUGAAAUUCGUAGAUAUCGGAAGAACACCAGUGGCGAAGGCGCCUCUGGGCAAG